GUAACACCCAUUGCGCCCUAAACUUUUGGUGCCACACGUAAAGCUGCCCGCUCGACAAGUGAAUAGUAAUGGAAGGCAGGCCGAGUAGAGGCAGAGGAGGCAGCUGGAAAAGAGGAGGCCAUGGUGGAAACGACAGUGAUCAUUUCGGUAGUGAACGCAGAGGCCGAGGCAGAGGAGGCCAACACCGCGGCCGGGGCAAAAAAGACCACCACCGCGGCCGUGGACGGGGAGGGAACACACAUGCAACGGCGUUCCGACACACGGACCAAGAUGAAGAGGACGACUUUCAUGAGGAGGAUCACAGGACAGUUUUCUCCAGGAGGACACUGGAAUCCAACUGGGGCCGUUAUGAGGACUCUGAGAAGCAGGAAGCAGGUGACGACAUGCCCACUCAAAGAGGCACCGACUACCACGUCCUUCUGGCGUCUGCAGGAGAUUCUUUCACUCAAUUCCGCUUGUCCGAAGAAAAAGGCUGGGAGAAGGACACAGUUUCAUGCAGUCAGAUGUCUGCCCACUUUGUGGACCUCGAAGCGCUGGCCAUAAGCCUGAAACAAGUGCCUCUACACCAGAGACUCAACCUGGAGGCUGAGCUGCUUCAGGUUUCAACACCAGCUGAGCUUCCCUCAAUGACGCCCAAACCGGCCACAUUCACACCUCCGCCCGUGGCUGCAAAAGUCCCUAACACGAACAACAACCCUAAUAUCGCGGAGUCUUUAAGCCUCUCUGCGAGCGCCGACUCCCAGGGUCCCUCGGGUGCCGCCGCUGCUGCUGCCGCCCCCCCGGAGGAUGACGUCGAUGAGGAGCUGGACCAGCUGCUCACUUUAGCGAAACCAGUGUGUGAUGUCUCAGGAGGCCAGUCUGACAGCACGGAGAGCGCUGCUCCACGACAGAAAGAGUGUGACGGUGUGACUGAGGCAGUGAUAGAAGAGAAGACGGAGGAGCGAAACGACGAGGUCUCACACCCCGUGUCUGCUCCUCGCAGGCAGGAAAUGACGGAGGAGGACCUGGAGGACUGGUUGGACAGCAUGAUCUCCUGACCAAACCUGCACCAGUGCCAACAACCGACACAUGCAUGGGGGCGUCGUCAAUGCCCAGGUUGCUGUUGAGGAUCUUGAGAAUGUUGCCAAGAAUGAUGCUGAGAUGUUCCGACGUCACCAUGGUGCAGCACUCGCCACUUGUAGGCGGGUUUUCUGGACCUUUUUCCCACCAGUAGGACAGUUGGAACAUGGCUUCUCCGUCCUUGGUCCUCUCAAUGUUCCAGCCCAUAGCCAGCAUGCUCUUCAACGACUCCCUCACCGGCCACCGGUAUGUUUCUUUCUCCUACCACAAACAAGCCACCUUUUAGAUGACUUGCAUUCAUGACUGACCGCUGCUGUACUGCAUGUAAGAAGGUGUGUUCUUUGUUUGAAUGUGCACGUACCUUCUCGCUAAGAGCUUUGUAAGGCUUGAGGAGCGGAUGUUUUUUGCCGUGUUCGUCCAUACUUUCUCCAUGUUUCCAGCCUGCUGACACCUAGAGCAGCCAGUACGUCUUCACGGUCAUGCAUCUCUACUACUCAUCACAAAUGCUACACAAACCUUCUCCGAUGACCACUUCUCAUGGGAAUGCUCUGCAUAUUUGUUGGCAAUGUACUCAAGUUUUUCAGGUAGGGAGAUACUGCAAAAUAGGGAGUUUUAUAUUAUUUGAUUAUGAUGAAAUUUGUAUCUUGUAAACACUGUAAGCUGGAUGUUCACUAAAUGCUUUAUUGGCCUAUUGGUUUUAAUAGUCAUAUAAAUGACACUCUGUUUUAUAUUUGUGACGGACUUCCAAGCGCUUACUUGGCAGUGUUUAUUGGUUUGGGGUCAAAGUUCCCCUGUGCGUCAAUGGAAGCAUGGUUCUCCAGUGUUGCUCCCAAACUGGCAUCCACAAAGUCAGGAGGCAAGGCUCCAGCAAUGGCGCAAAGGCAUGAGUUGGCCAUUUUGAACAGGUCAGCAUCAUACUUCUACAAGAAAAGAGGACACACAACUGUUGUACGAGGCAUAUACAGGUCAGAGCAGAGGGUAGCGUUGGGCUGUCACAGACUUUUAAAUGAUUAAUUUGUUUCAGCAGCAUCACACGUUGCUAGUUCACUGAACUUUCCUCACUUGCUCUGAUUUUGCAGACCCAAAACCGACAUUUGAGAGGUGAAAAUUGUUAGAGGUGUCACAAGAUCUUGUGUGAUUAAAAUGCGAUAAGAUUUCUUGUUGCGAAAUGAGCAUGAGCCCGGGACGAUGAUAAAUGAAUCACACAAUAAAUGAAAAUGAGAUGACAAUUUUGCUGGCCUCAGUAUAUUGUCACGUGCAUGCGUGUCUGUUUUCCUCGUCUCUCGCCUCCAAACAUGCAGGAACAGUGUUGCCGACUUGGCGAUUUUGUUUCUAGAUCUGGCAACAUUCCAACCCCCCCUUGAAGACAUAUUUUCUCAAAAGCGACUAGCGACAAAUCUAGCAACUUUUUCUGCCGUCGUUGGGGAGUUUUCUAAUAUGGUGAAAGCAUGUAUAUAGAUCAUGAACGCAGUGAGCCCUUUUGUCAAUCAUACAGUCUCUUUGUCUCAGUGGGUGGAGGCAAAGUAAUGUUAAAAUCUCAUUCCAUCUCAUUGUCGUACACCCAAUCCCAUGUAUCAUCUCGUCUUGUGAACGGAGUGUCUCGUGACACCCCUACUAAUCAAUGAGCUUUCAAAAUGAUGCCUCGACGGUACCUUUUGAGAGAGGGAGUCAAAGAUUCCCCAGAAGAGUUUCUUGGUCAGGAGGAGCUCCUCUUCUGAAGCUAUGCCAAAGCUGCCCAUCCCAGACGGAAGGCAGUAGUACUUCCAGUUUUGCUCAUAGUGGUUGGUAAGUAGCUACAGGUUGAACAUAUAAUAAAAUGUAAAAAAAAACAAAAAAAAACACAUAUAUUUAAAAUAAAUCACGUAAAACUGUAUUAUUAAUUAUAUUGCUUCUAUCAGACAAAUGGUUUGAAAGAGGAGUGAGGGAGCCCAUCUACGUCAAAGUUGAGAACAGAGGGGGGAGGUUUACGUGUAAAUACUUUAAAUAAAUACUUUGUAUCCUGCACCAACUCCUCAGACUAAGGCUGUCCUACCUAGUGAGACUAGUGUUGUCCCACCUAGUCACUGAGCAUGAACUGAUAAAGCCUGCUCGGAUGACAGGUGAAACAACAUCGAAGACAACCUGAACAGUCCAGUUGCAAUGGAUUCAAUGCCCUGAGGAUACAAAGACCUGGACGAAUAAGAACAUUCACAAACACUGCAUCCAUCAUUUUUUAAAAGCUUUUUUGGUGACCUGUCCAAAUAUAGAGUAGUAGUUUACCAGUCCAAAGUGUAGACACACUUGCUCAUGCUAUUAAUGAGAAAUAAAAUAAUGCUUUUUACAUCCACUAUAAAAUAUUAACGCUACAAAGAAGACCCUCCCCCCUCCUUUUUCAGCAGCAUUCAAGUGAUAUCAAAAUAAUUGAUUUGAAUUGGAAUAUCAUGAAGAAAUGUCUUCUUACCCGCAGAGGUAUCUUACAGUAUUCGGUGAGCAUGGGGACAUCAAACACCAAGCGUCUGAGCAGCUGUUGCAUCAUGGAAGGCCGCAGAUGCCUAUAAAGCAAAUUCAAAUAUAUGUGAAUUUAAAAUCUAGACAGCAGGAUGAAAAGAACAGUCUCCAGGCUUGGUUGAAUUAUGGAACCCAAGGAGGGGAAGGGUUGAUUUAAGUGCAAUCAACGCUAAUGUUGUCUACAUCUACUUCUGGAUUGAAAUGCAUAUGAAAAUUCAGAUGAUGCCAAGUGAGAUACAUAUGGUGAUCUAUGGCCACUUCUACGAUAUGGCAGACUAUCUGAUAUAUUGCUGCUGUGCCAAAGUGUAAAGAAGUAUGUGCAAUGCGAGAAAAGAAGCAUAAUGAAGAUGUGCACCAAACUUCCUCCUCCAGCUUACUUGCAGAUAGCCAGCAGACACUCCUGAAUCACAUCUCUCUGGGCUUUGGUGAGGGAACGUCCUUUGGACAGCCGGUAGAUGGUUUGAAGCGUGGCGUCGAUCAGCUGUGCGUGGUGCUCCGUGCUCGCAAAUAAGGCGGCGCAGCGGGUCAGCAGAGGCAGCAGAGCUGCACCGAUGUACCUGUUCAUGGCCAACGCCGUCUCAGAGGUGCUCAGAACCUCCUGUGGCACAGAUGGUAAUACACAGGAGAUAAAGAGUCAAGACGAGUGAAGGUUCAGUGUUGGUGAUGUCAAUCAUGCAAAAUGUAAAGUCAAGGGCAGUGGAGUUUGAAAAUCUCAAUUUUCUCCUGAUGAGACUGCGGAGCAUCGUUAACGGGCAAGGAGACAAGCUGAAUAUGAAUGAGGAAAAAAAUCUAAUUUAACCAAGACUUUAUGCCUAAUGAAAACUUGGGAAAGACAUUUCUUUUCUUUUCUUUUUUGGAAAGACAUUUCAUUAGGUACACCGACACAAUCAAAACAAAUCAUGCUCAAUUUUUAAUUGAACAAAAUGUUGCUAAAUAAGGUCAUCAAAUAUUAAAAACACCUCCCAAUAUGAAUCAGUGCAGUAUUAUGAUAUUGUAAAAGUAGAAUAUUUGGUACAGGUCUCACGUGCACAUUUGGUGACGAUGUGGAGAUUCGCCUAACAUUUUUCUUCUUACUCACCGUGUCUAAGGAUGCAGCAGCUUGGAGGUCGGGCAGGAAGCCAACUUCUAACAGCUGGAGUAGGAAGCUCUGGUCCUCGAUGCCGUACACUCUGUCCAGGAAGAGCACCAUGGGGGCCUUGUGGUCCGGACAAAAACAGGCUGACAUGUCGGGUUCUGUCACUGUACCCUCUGUAGAUUAAGCACAUAUUGACUGUUUAUUUCAUAACACAUUCAUAACCACAUAUUUAGUGUAAUUUUCUCUGCACGCCCCACACACCUUUAUUAACUACAGGUUUUUUGAGCGGGAUGCUGAUGACGCCAACCAGGUCUGUGGUGGGAACCAGAGAGCGUAGAAUUGCUCGUAUACGAAGCGCCUCACCUUUACCAGCGUUGAUGAGCUACCAAAGAAACAAAAGCCUUCAAAUCCAAAAUCCAGUGUGUGUGACUAUUAUGGUUGUUUUUAUGAGCCUUUUCCUGCUCCGACUUUCAUUAUAAAGCCUCACAUGCAUCUCAGGUGCACAUCGACCCAGCAGGUCAAUGAGGGCAGAGUAGAAGGACAUGAUGGCGUUGCCCAUGUGGAUUACUUCCUCCUCUUCAUCACAAGAUCUGAAGUACACACAGAAAAUAAUCAUUACUAGUUGGAAACCAUGGAAACAAACGGAGCAAUGCAUAAUAUCAUUUGAAUUGAUGUAUUUUCUAAUACAGUCAAACUGCGGUUUAGCCCAAAUUUAGCCUGUUUUUUCGUACACUGUCUGGGUUUUCAUACAAUAUUGCGCUUAACAAACUAGUCUGUUUGUAUCAUUCCACAGAAUCGAGUGCCCAAACAAAGCAACCUAUGUGUUGGUGACUGGCUAUCCGUGCGAUUGCUAAAUAACCCGCCAUGGGGCCAAAGAAAGAGUUGCGUGUUUUGAUUUAAUAAAGAAGGUGAGAAACACUGUUGAAUUCAAGAAAUAACUCAUCGCAAAGUAUGAAGAUGGCGUUCCCAUCCCUCCUCCCCGUCUUCGCCAGCAACUGUUUUCAAUAAAAGAAGACCGCAAACCUCAAGAAGGACAGGUAGCGCUCUCCCUCUAUGGGGUUCCAGCCCAGGUCUGGGUAACCUUUAGCCACCAGCAUGGCACAACUCUGAAGACCACAUCCUGCUAGCAGAGACCUGAUCUGACCCAGUGAGGCCAGCAGGUUGAUAGCAUCCUGCACGGAUGCAGCACUGAUGGUGUAAGACUUCUUCAUUGCCCGGAGCAGUUCCCCAAUACCAUCAUACUGCCUCCUGAGCAGGCUGAACAUCACUCGGACCAGCUCGGGAUCCUGGAUGUGGGCCUCCUGGGCCCAGCUGCUUAUAGUCUGGGAGAUGAGUUCCUUCAGGUUAGCUGUGGAGGGAUUCCUGCAAAGGAGAGACUACAUUUACAUACGUACCGUAUGUGGCGCAUCGACACUGAGGUUACAGUAAGUGUAACCCUGUUGGAAAUGAAUCAUUUUCCUAUCUUCAAUCAGUGGGGACGCCAAAGCUGUCUGUGUCGAUGGACCCACCACAGUGCAGUUGCAGUUCUUCAUGGAAGCCAUUGAGUUCUUCCUGGAGCUCCUCAGGACAGGGGCAGUCAUCACCUGCAGUGAAGUUCAACAGGAUGUUGAUCUGCAGGAAACCGAGAAACGGAGUUAUGGAAAAGAAAAGUAUAACAACACAUGCUGUGAACAAGAAAGCUACUACUAUAUUUUUCUCUACUGAGGAUUACCAUGCAAACAGCAUUGGUGGCAUUUAACAAACAUCUGAAGAAACUGCAAUGCCGACAGCAUACACUUGCUGCUGACUGAACUUGUUUUUCAGGAAUCAGUGUCAGCUCGGGCUAAUUGACAAUGUGUUGGAACGUCACAGAAAGUGCAAGUUGUUUUAGAAACAACAGAACUUGUAGACUACUAUGUGGUAAGAAUAAUGAUUUUGUUUUCUUCCCAAUGAGGGAGAUGCUUGUUAAACGGUGUUGCAAGUCACUGAGUACAAAUCAGUGAGGCGAAUAAACACUUAAAGUGUCAUUCAGAUCAUAUAGUAGAAGCCACUUUGAAUGAAAAUGAACAAGGUGAUUGGCGCAUGAAGUAAAUAUUGUCACUAUCCAACUGCAUAGUGGAUAGUGGACUUAAUAAUUUUAAAAUCUUGUCAAGGCUUGAACCAUAAUUGUACAUAGACACUGAAGGGGUAUUUUAUAUAUAGCCACCAUUACAUAGGAGAAUAUUUGCACUUGAGGGUUAUUCACUAUUUAUGAGCUACUUAUUUAACUGCAUUGGCUUUUUCGGUUCCCUUAUUGUUGCCUUUAACGACCGUUUGGGUGGAUAAAUGUGGGGCAACAGCUGUAAUCUUGCAGUUAGCUCUCACAUUUGUUCACUAUUGGUCUCUAGAAAGGCAAAAGCAAAUCAUACUGUGGCCACAAUUUUGCAAAUAAACAGUCAUGUGAAAGAAUUAGGGUUGUGUAAGCUACUUCUGAAUGGCAACACAGAAAAGGUUGAAGAUUUUGCUAAAUACAGACCCUUGUAAUGGCCGUGCUAUUCUUUUGGUGCUAAACGCACCACAUGUUGGUGCUGUUAUUAAACCCCACAGGUGGGACGGCACCUGUAUGAAUGCAAAACAUGUAAUGCCAGGACCAGUGUGUGAAGUUUAACACUUCUCUUCCUCCAUCCUGUUGUGUUGAAAGUAAUGGUCACCGUCUGAAAAGUAUUUUAUACAUCACACCAGACAGGCGAGGACAUCACAAACCAAUAAUGCGUCUGGACAGUUCCUCUGUGUUCCUAUAAUUAGUAAUUCUGGUCUGCACUGGGCCGACUGGCCGAGUGGUUAGCAUGUUGGCCACACUUUCAGGAAAUCUGAAAGAUCUGAGCUUGAAUCUCCGUUGCGCAUCUCUGUGUGGAGUGUUCUCCCCGUGCGUGCGUGGGUUUUCUCCGGCUUCCUCCCACAUUCCAAAAAAAACAUGCGUGGCAGGUUACCGUAAUUGGCGACUCUAAAUUGUCCAUAGGUAUCAAUGUGAGUGUGAAUGGUUGUUUGUCUAUAUGUGCCCUGUGAUUGGCUGAUGACCAGUCCAGGGUGUACCCCGCCUCUCGCCCAAAGUCAGCUGGGAUAGGCUGCAGUCUACCAGCAUUGUGAGGAUAAGCGGUAUAGAAAAUGAAUGGAUGGUCUACACUGUGAAUUUAUAACAUUUGGGGGGCAGUUAGUUUUCUAAUGCAGGAGUCCAGGCUUUCAGUCAACUGACUGAAUUCAAUUUAGCCUUACAAGUCCAAUAUAUUCUUUGGGAAUACAAAUAAAGUUUAGGGAGUCUAGUGAAGUUCCUUGAUUUCAAUGUGUCCACUAUCUCCAUUUAUGUUGAUGUAAAUUAGCUGCCUAUACUUUUGUGUUGUACCUGCUCCUGAGGCGGUGAGCGGAACUCUUUAGUCUUCUUGGCUGUCACAGCGGCGGACAUAUUGAGCGCCUGCAUGAGCUCGUUGUAGCGGAACUUCUGGUUGUAUUGCAGCUUGGAGACAAAGUUGUCGGAGAAGGACACGAUGGUCUCGAUGCGGUGUUUCAGCUCACAGUCGCAGAAGUAAUGCAGCAGCUCGCACAUCUGACAAAAGAAAGGCAUUUAAGAAUUUGAAUAGCUAAACAAUUCUAAACUCGUUCAUAUGACUGACUCCUUGGAAA
This is an RNA transcript of Dunckerocampus dactyliophorus (ringed pipefish), 8257 nucleotides long. It is a transcript of the gene named apoptosis, caspase activation inhibitor, with no coding region annotated. Lineage: Eukaryota; Metazoa; Chordata; Actinopteri; Syngnathiformes; Syngnathidae. The record is from RefSeq and is a predicted model, not a curated record. The transcript has 11 exons.